RNAcentral lists this ribosomal RNA (1446 nucleotides) under Escherichia coli. RNAcentral's name for it is "partial 23S ribosomal RNA". It matches the Rfam family "Bacterial large subunit ribosomal RNA", at positions 1 to 1484 of the family's 2925-position model. The record is from RNAcentral. Lineage: Bacteria; Pseudomonadati; Pseudomonadota; Gammaproteobacteria; Enterobacterales; Enterobacteriaceae.
GGGUUGUGAGGUUAAGCGACUAAGCGUACACGGUGGAUGCCCUGGCAGUCAGAGGCGAUGAAGGACGUGCUAAUCUGCGAUAAGCGUCGGUGAGGUGAUAUGAACCGUUAUAACCGGCGAUUUCCGAAUGGGGAAACCCAGUGUGUUUCGACACACUAUCAUUAACUGAAUCCAUAGGUUAAUGAGGCGAACCGGGGGAACUGAAACAUCUAAGUACCCCGAGGAAAAGAAAUCAACCGAGAUUCCCCCAGUAGCGGCGAGCGAACGGGGAGGAGCCCAGAGCCUGAAUCAGUGUGUGUGUUAGUGGAAGCGUCUGGAAAGGCGUGCGAUACAGGGUGACAGCCCCGUACACAAAAAUGCACAUAUUGUGAGCUCGAUGAGUAGGGCGGGACACGUGGUAUCCUGUCUGAAUAUGGGGGGACCAUCCUCCAAGGCUAAAUACUCCUGACUGACCGAUAGUGAACCAGUACCGUGAGGGAAAGGCGAAAAGAACCCCGGCGAGGGGAGUGAAAAAGAACCUGAAACCGUGUACGUACAAGCAGUGGGAGCCUCUUAAUGGGGUGACUGCGUACCUUUUGUAUAAUGGGUCAGCGACUUAUAUUCUGUAGCAAGGUUAACCGAAUAGGGGAGCCGAAGGGAAACCGAGUCUUAACUGGGCGUUAAGUUGCAGGGUAUAGACCCGAAACCCGGUGAUCUAGCCAUGGGCAGGUUGAAGGUUGGGUAACACUAACUGGAGGACCGAACCGACUAAUGUUGAAAAAUUAGCGGAUGACUUGUGGCUGGGGGUGAAAGGCCAAUCAAACCGGGAGAUAGCUGGUUCUCCCCGAAAGCUAUUUAGGUAGCGCCUCGUGAAUUCAUCUCCGGGGGUAGAGCACUGUUUCGGCAAGGGGGUCAUCCCGACUUACCAACCCGAUGCAAACUGCGAAUACCGGAGAAUGUUAUCACGGGAGACACACGGCGGGUGCUAACGUCCGUCGUGAAGAGGGAAACAACCCAGACCGCCAGCUAAGGUCCCAAAGUCAUGGUUAAGUGGGAAACGAUGUGGGAAGGCCCAGACAGCCAGGAUGUUGGCUUAGAAGCAGCCAUCAUUUAAAGAAAGCGUAAUAGCUCACUGGUCGAGUCGGCCUGCGCGGAAGAUGUAACGGGGCUAAACCAUGCACCGAAGCUGCGGCAGCGACACUAUGUGUUGUUGGGUAGGGGAGCGUUCUGUAAGCCUGUGAAGGUGGCCUGUGAGGGUUGCUGGAGGUAUCAGAAGUGCGAAUGCUGACAUAAGUAACGAUAAAGCGGGUGAAAAGCCCGCUCGCCGGAAGACCAAGGGUUCCUGUCCAACGUUAAUCGGGGCAGGGUGAGUCGACCCCUAAGGCGAGGCCGAAAGGCGUAGUCGAUGGGAAACAGGUUAAUAUUCCUGUACUUGGUGUUACUGCGAAGGGGGGACGGAGAAGGCUA